Molecule: ribosomal RNA, 492 nt
Filed under: uncultured bacterium
Lineage: Bacteria
Description: partial 16S ribosomal RNA
Rfam family: Bacterial small subunit ribosomal RNA
Source: RNAcentral
AGUGAACGCUGGCGGUAGGCCUAACACAUGCAAGUCGAACGGCAGCACAGUAAGAGCUUGCUCUUACGGGUGGCGAGUGGCGGACGGGUGAGGAAUACAUCGGAAUCUACUUUUUCGUGGGGGAUAACGUAGGGAAACUUACGCUAAUACCGCAUACGACCUACGGGUGAAAGCAGGGGAUCUUCGGACCUUGCGCGAUUGAAUGAGCCGAUGUCGGAUUAGCUAGUUGGCGGGGGAAAGGCCCACCAAGGCGACGAUCCAUAGCUGGUCUGAGAGGAUGAUCAGCCACACUAGAACUGAGACACGGUCCAGACUCCUACGGGAGGAAGCAGUGGGGAAUAUUGGACAAUGGGCGCAAGCCUGCUCCAGCCAUACCGCGUGGGUGAAGAAGGCCUUCGGGUUGUAAAGCCCUUUUGUUGGGAAAGAAAAGCAGCAGGUUAAUACCCCGCUGUUCUGACGGUACCCAAAGAAUAAGCACCGGCUAACUUCGUG